GAUGAACGCUGGCGGCGUGCCUAAUACAUGCAAGUCGAGCGAACAGAUAAGGAGCUUGCUCCUUUGACGUUAGCGGCGGACGGGUGAGUUACACGUGGAUAACCUACCUCUAAGACUGGGAUAACUUCGGGAAACCGGAGCUAAUACCGGAUAACAUAUUGAACCGCAUGGUUCAAUAGUGAAAGGCGGCUUUGCUGUCACUUAUAGAUGGAUCCGCGCCGUAUUAGCUAGUUGGUACGGUAACGGCUUACCAAGGCAACGAUACGUAGCCGACCUGAGAGGGUGAACGGCCACACUGGAGCUGAGCCACGGUCCAGACUCCUACGGGAGGCAGAAGUAGGGAAUCUUCCGCGAUGGGCGGAAGCCUGACGGAGCAACGCCGCGUGAGUGAUGAAGGUCUUCGGAUCGUAAAACUCUGUUAUCAGGGAAGAACAAAUGUGUAAGUAACUGUGCACAUCUUGACGGUACCUGAAUAGAAAGCCACGGCUAACUACGUG
This 497-nucleotide ribosomal RNA is filed under the name uncultured bacterium. RNAcentral's name for it is "partial 16S ribosomal RNA". It matches the Rfam family "Bacterial small subunit ribosomal RNA", at positions 28 to 507 of the family's 1533-position model. The record is from RNAcentral.